GACGAACGCUGGCGGCGCGCCUAACACAUGCAAGUCGAACGAGCGAGAGAGAGCUUGCUUUCUCGAGCGAGUGGCGAACGGGUGAGUAACGCGUGAGGAACCUGCCUCAAAGAGGGGGACAACAGUUGGAAACGACUGCUAAUACCGCAUAAGCCCACGACCCGGCAUCGGGAAGAGGGAAAAGGAGCAAUCCGCUUUGAGAUGGCCUCGCGUCCGAUUAGCUAGUUGGUGAGGUAACGGCCCACCAAGGCGACGAUCGGUAGCCGGACUGAGAGGUUGAACGGCCACAUUGGGACUGAGACACGGCCCAGACUCCUACGGGAGGCAGCAGUGGGGAAUAUUGCACAAUGGGGGAAACCCUGAUGCAGCGACGCCGCGUGGAGGAAGAAGGUCUUCGGAUUGUAAACUCCUGUUGUUGAGGAAGAUAAUGACGGUACUCAACAAGGAAGUGACGGCUAACUACGUGCCAGCAGCCGCGGUAAAACGUAGGUCACAAGCGUUGUCCGGAAUUACUGGGUGUAAAGGGAGCGCAGGCGGGAAGACAAGUUGGAAGUGAAAUCCAUGGGCUCAACCCAUGAACUGCUUUCAAAACUGUUUUUCUUGAGUAGUGCAGAGGUAGGCGGAAUUCCCGGUGUAGCGGUGGAAUGCGUAGAUAUCGGGAGGAACACCAGUGGCGAAGGCGGCCUACUGGGCACCAACUGACGCUGAGGCUCGAAAGUGUGGGUAGCAAACAGGAUUAGAUACCCUGGUAGUCCACACCGUAAACGAUGGAUUACUAGGUGUUGGGGGAUUGACCCCUUCAGUGCCGCAGUUAACACAAUAAGUAAUCCACCUGGGGAGUACGACCGCAAGGUUGAAACUCAAAGGAAUUGACGGGGGCCCGCACAAGCAGUGGAGUAUGUGGUUUAAUUCGACGCAACGCGAAGAACCUUACCAAGUCUUGACAUCCUGCGACGAUGCUGGAAACAGUAUUUUCCUUCGGGACGCAGAGACAGGUGGUGCAUGGUUGUCGUCAGCUCGUGUCGUGAGAUGUUGGGUUAAGUCCCGCAACGAGCGCCACCCUUAUGGUCAGUUACUACGCAAGAGGACUCUGGCCAGACUGCCGUUGACAAAACGGAGGAAGGUGGGGAUGACGUCAAAUCAUCAUGCCCUUUAUGACUUGGGCUACACACGUACUACAAUGGCGUUAAACAAAGAGAAGCAAGACCGCGAGGUGGAGCAAAACUCAGAAACAACGUCCCAGUUCGGACUGCAGGCUGCAACUCGCCUGCACGAAGCCGGAAUUGCUAGUAAUCGUGGAUCAGCAUGCCACGGUGAAUACGUUCCCGGGCCUUGCACA
This 1339-nucleotide ribosomal RNA is filed under the name uncultured bacterium. RNAcentral's name for it is "bacterial SSU rRNA". It matches the Rfam family "Bacterial small subunit ribosomal RNA", at positions 28 to 1387 of the family's 1533-position model. The record is from RNAcentral.